GACAGAGGUGGCAAGCGUUGCUCGGAAUUACUGGGCUUAAAGGGCGCGUAGGCGGCUUUGUAAGUCUGAGGUGGAAUCCCAUAGCUCAACUAUGGAACUGCCUUAGAAACUGCAAGGCUUGAGACAAGUAGAGGGAGGCGGAAUUCCCGGUGUAGCGGUGAAAUGCGUAGAUAUCGGGAGGAAGGCCGGUGGCGAAGGCGGCCUCCUGGGCUUGUCCUGACGCUGAGGCGCGAAAGCGUGGGGAGCAAACAGG
Molecule: ribosomal RNA, 253 nt
Filed under: uncultured Nitrospirota bacterium
Lineage: Bacteria; Pseudomonadati; Nitrospirota
Description: uncultured Nitrospirae bacterium partial 16S ribosomal RNA
Rfam family: Bacterial small subunit ribosomal RNA
Source: RNAcentral